RNAcentral lists this ribosomal RNA (1372 nucleotides) under uncultured bacterium. RNAcentral describes it as "bacterial SSU rRNA". It matches the Rfam family "Bacterial small subunit ribosomal RNA", at positions 28 to 1381 of the family's 1533-position model. The record is from RNAcentral.
GAUGAACGCUGGCGGCGUGCCUAAUACAUGCAAGUCGAGCGAACGGACGAGAAGCUUGCUUCUCUGAUGUUAGCGGCGGACGGGUGAGUAACACGUGGAUAACCUACCUAUAAGACUGGGAUAACUUCGGGAAACCGGAGCUAAUACCGGAUAAUAUUUUGAACCGCAUGGUUCAAAAGUGAAAGACGGUCUUGCUGUCACUUAUAGAUGGAUCCGCGCUGCAUUAGCUAGUUGGUAAGGUAACGGCUUACCAAGGCAACGAUGCAUAGCCGACCUGAGAGGGUGAUCGGCCACACUGGAACUGAGACACGGUCCAGACUCCUACGGGAGGCAGCAGUAGGGAAUCUUCCGCGAUGGGCGAAAGCCUGACGGAGCAACGCCGCGUGAGUGAUGAAGGUCUUCGGAUCGUAAAACUCUGUUAUUAGGGAAGAACAUAUGUGUAAGUAACUGUGCACAUCUUGACGGUACCUAAUCAGAAAGCCACGGCUAACUACGUGCCAGCAGCCGCGGUAAUACGUAGGUGGCAAGCGUUAUCCGGAAUUAUUGGGCGUAAAGCGCGCGUAGGCGGUUUUUUAAGUCUGAUGUGAAAGCCCACGGCUCAACCGUGGAGGGUCAUUGGAAACUGGAAAACUUGAGUGCAGAAGAGGAAAGUGGAAUUCCAUGUGUAGCGGUGAAAUGCGCAGAGAUAUGGAGGAACACCAGUGGCGAAGGCGACUUUCUGGUCUGUAACUGACGCUGAUGUGCGAAAGCGUGGGGAUCAAACAGGAUUAGAUACCCUGGUAGUCCACGCCGUAAACGAUGAGUGCUAAGUGUUAGGGGGUUUCCGCCCCUUAGUGCUGCAGCUAACGCAUUAAGCACUCCGCCUGGGGAGUACGACCGCAAGGUUGAAACUCAAAGGAAUUGACGGGGACCCGCACAAGCGGUGGAGCAUGUGGUUUAAUUCGAAGCAACGCGAAGAACCUUACCAAAUCUUGACAUCCUUUGACAACUCUAGAGAUAGAGCUUUCCCCUUCGGGGGACAAAGUGACAGGUGGUGCAUGGUUGUCGUCAGCUCGUGUCGUGAGAUGUUGGGUUAAGUCCCGCAACGAGCGCAACCCUUAAGCUUAGUUGCCAUCAUUAAGUUGGGCACUCUAAGUUGACUGCCGGUGACAAACCGGAGGAAGGUGGGGAUGACGUCAAAUCAUCAUGCCCCUUAUGAUUUGGGCUACACACGUGCUACAAUGGACAAUACAAAGGGCAGCGAAACCGCGAGGUCAAGCAAAUCCCAUAAAGUUGUUCUCAGUUCGGAUUGUAGUCUGCAACUCGACUACAUGAAGCUGGAAUCGCUAGUAAUCGUAGAUCAGCAUGCUACGGUGAAUACGUUCCCGGGUCU